AUCCAACAACAACAAACCACAGAUCAUUCACACAUCAUUCUCAAAUCACAUAUCAAAUCAACAAACAAUUAUUCACAUUAUUCACACAAUUGGAAGGAAAAAAGAAAAAAAAAAUCUAUGGAGCCUGCCACCGCGUGGCAUUCCGCGCUGGGCCGCCGCCUCCCCAGCCCGGCUCGGGCCCGGCCGCCGCCGCCUCCCCAGCCUAGCUCGGGCCUGGCCGCCGCCGCCUCCCUAGCCUACCUCGGGCCCGGCCGCCACCACCCCUGCCUAGCAUGAGCCCGCUGCCACCAACCCCGCCCGGCACAGGCCCGGGCGCUGGCGGCCGCUUCUCCCACGGAUCUGAGGAAGAGAAGAGAGGAAAACUUAACAGAAGAGUGGAAGAGGAAGGGGAGAGGAAGAGAUGAGUGAAAGAGGAAGGUGAGGAAGAGAUAAGGGAGAGAC
This 441-nucleotide long non-coding RNA is filed under the name Oryza sativa (Asian cultivated rice). Its description in RNAcentral is "long non-coding RNA (OSAT_LNC000002)". The record is from RNAcentral. Lineage: Eukaryota; Viridiplantae; Streptophyta; Magnoliopsida; Poales; Poaceae.